This 1565-nucleotide long non-coding RNA is filed under the name Sus scrofa (pig). Its description in RNAcentral is "lncRNA (ENSSSCG00040069041.1)". Lineage: Eukaryota; Metazoa; Chordata; Mammalia; Artiodactyla; Suidae. The record is from RNAcentral.
AUGGAGGGGGGGAAAAAAAAAAAACACAAAAAACCUACUACGCCACCAUUUCCGCCUUGCCGGGCCAACAAACGUGCAAAGAUGGAGAAAGACGCACGUCCCGGCAGCGCCUACGUCCCCAAAACGCGCAAGUGCGAGCGAGGUCCCGCCCCCUCGCGCCCCCAGCGAGGCGCGCGCACCAGAAACCAGCCCCCCGCUGGCGCCGCCCCGGGCUUCCGCCCCGAGGCCCGACGGUCGCUGUUCGGUUCCGGUUCUAGUCCCGCCCUCACGCGGGAACCCUCCAGAAAUCUUAAUAUCCGGGACCCGAGGCCGCCGGCAGCGCGCAUUUCCGGCGACAGAAAGGAUCCGGUGACGCCUCUUCCCUUCUGUCCUGCCGCCCAGGCUCCGGCUCUCGGUGCGGCAGCGCCAUCUGGUGCCGAGUGUCUCGCCGCCAGCGGAGGGGGCGCGCGCCUUUCGGAACCUUCCAGAGAAAACGCGGCCCCGGUUCUGCUCUGUCCCGCCCUCGGGAAGGGAGCGACCAGAGGCUCCGCCCUGCCGAGUUCCCGCGCAGGAGGAAAGCUUGGAAGAAAAAAAGGAACAUGUUACUAGCACCUUUCAUUUUUUCAGUCAGUGGGAAUUCUCCUGGUGGAUGAUUGUCAUGUGCAGCUCAGGAGACCCUGGAAGAUUUAAGGUCUAAGCUCAAUAUGACCUCCUCGAGGGGCGUUUUUCCGGCAGUCUUAUGACCACCACCACCCCACCUCAAGCCUGCUCCAGCCUCAGGCUCCUCAGGUAGGAGUUAUCCUUUUGUAUGUGCAUAUAUGUACAAUAUACAUAUUUCUUUAGUACCUUUAUUUCAUCCAUUUAUGUUUAUCUUUGCUUCUUAGUAUUAGAUAUAAGCUCUAUGAACAGCAUCAGCUGUAGAUUUUUCAUCUUUGAUUCCCCAACAUUCUAUAUAGGGAUUGGCACAUAGUAGAGAUUUCACAAUUGAAUAAAUGAGCAAAUUAACCAAUGUAGGUUGUUGGUAAAUUUCCACAUGAGUGCAGAAGUGCAACAGCCAGGAGGAGGACCAGGAAUUGGUUCCCAGGACUGCUGCCAUGCAUUUCGCUCAGGUUUUAAGUCUUGAGGGAAAUGCUGCCACUGGGCCCCCUGAGAGAUUUGCAGUGAUAAUGCUUAAAAAUGGGCAACUUACUGGAAGCAGAGGUUCUUAGUGCAGAAGAAUUUAAGGAAGUUAAUGAUGCCACCUACUCCUGGUCCAUGCUGGCCACACUCCUGGCCUGCCUUUGCACCUACUCUUCUUCCCCGCUGUUCUAUUUAAACUUACCCCACUCUGUUCCACUUUCAUGCUUUAUUUUUUCCAUAGCAAUUAUCACUGUGUAUUCUAAUUACUUACUUACUGCCUGUCUUCCCCCUCUCCAUCGGAAUCUAAACUCUGAUUGUAUAUAGUCUGCUUUUCUCCAGCUCUAUAUUCAGUGCUAAAAAUAGUCCCUGGGAGUAGUAGCUGCUCAAUAAAUAUUGUGGAAGGAAGGAAGAGAGAGAGAGAGGGAAGGAAGAGAGGGGGGUUGAAAGAAAAAAAGAAUGUUAGGAAA